GCAUCAUUUUUGAUAUCCCCAGUUGCCUGUGGAGAAGAUGAUGUUUGACCUUCUUGAACCGCUGCAGUCCGUGUGGUGAAGGUGCUCCCACAAUGCUGUUAGUGAAAGACAAUGAAGGAUUGGCACCGAUAAAAGUGUCCUUCAACUAGCCUGGUUCCAAAAUCUCAUUCGAGAAAUGACAAGAAAACACACUGAAUUUGCUCUAUGUCUUGACUUCAAACGAACAGGAUACAAGAUUUACUAAUUGAAUUUAAAUUCCACCAGCUGCUGUGGUGGGAUUUGAACCUGUGACCUCAGAGCAUGAGCCUGGGCCUCUGGAUUACUCGUAUGGAUGUCCAGGCUUUAGAAAGACAGCUCAUCCUGAAAACAGCCC
Molecule: long non-coding RNA, 373 nt
Organism: Carcharodon carcharias (great white shark)
Lineage: Eukaryota; Metazoa; Chordata; Chondrichthyes; Lamniformes; Lamnidae
Exons: 3
Source: RefSeq, a predicted model, not a curated record